CCUACGGGAGGCAGCAGUGAGGAAUAUUGGUCAAUGGGCGCGAGCCUGAACCAGCCAAGUCGCGUGAAGGAUGACUGCCCUACGGGUUGUAAACUUCUUUUAUAAAGGAAUAAAGUGAGGCACGUGAGCGUUCUCGUAGGUACUUUAUGAAAAAGGAUCGGCCAACUCCGUGCCAGCAGCCGCGGUAAUACGGAGGAUCCGAGCGUUAUCCGGAUUUAUUGGGUUUAAAGGGAGCGGAGGUGGGUGGUUAAGUCAGUUGUGAAAGUUUGCGGCUCAACCGUAGAAGUGCAAUUGAUACUGGCAGUCUUGAGUGCAGUUGAGGUAGGCGGAAUUCGUGGUGUAGCGGUGAAAUGCUUAGAUAUCACGAAGAACCCCGAUUGCGAAGGCAGCUUACUGAACUGUGACUGACAUUGAUGCUCGAAAGUGUGGGUAUCAAACAGGAUUAGAUACCCGAGUAGUC
Molecule: ribosomal RNA, 460 nt
Filed under: uncultured bacterium
Lineage: Bacteria
Description: partial 16S ribosomal RNA
Rfam family: Bacterial small subunit ribosomal RNA
Source: RNAcentral